Molecule: ribosomal RNA, 497 nt
Filed under: uncultured bacterium
Lineage: Bacteria
Description: partial 16S ribosomal RNA
Rfam family: Bacterial small subunit ribosomal RNA
Source: RNAcentral
GAUGGACGCUGGCGGCGUGCCUAAUACAUGCAAGUCGAGCGAACAGAUAAGGAGCUUGCUCCUUUGACGUUAGCGGCGGACGGGUGAGUAACACGUGGGUAACCUACCUAUAAGACUGGGAUAACUUCGGGAAACCGGAGCUAAUACCGGAUAACAUUUGGAACCGCAUGGUUCUAAAGUGAAAGAUGGUUUUGCUAUCACUUAUAGAUGGACCCGCGCCGUAUUAGCUAGUUGGUAAGGUAACGGCUUACCAAGGCGACUAUACGUAGCCGACCUGAGAGGGUGAUCGGCCACACUGGAACUGAGACACGGUCCAGACUCCUACGGGAGGCAGCAGUAGGGAAUCUUCCGCAAAGGGCGAAAGCCUGACGGAGCAACGCCGCGUGAGUGAUGAAGGGUUUCGGCUCGUAAAACUCUGUUAUUAGUGAAGAACAAACGUGUAAGUAACUGUGCACGUCUUGACGGUACCUAAUCAGAAAGCCACGGCUAACUACGUG